GGAGAGGUGGCCGAGUGGCUGAAGGCGCACGCCUGGAACGCGUGUAUACCCUAACCGGUAUCGUGGGUUCGAAUCCCACUCUCUCCGCCA
RNAcentral lists this transfer RNA (90 nucleotides) under Bdellovibrionales bacterium. RNAcentral's name for it is "tRNA-Ser". It matches the Rfam family "tRNA". From Rfam's summary of the family: Transfer RNA (tRNA) molecules are approximately 80 nucleotides in length. Their secondary structure includes four short double-helical elements and three loops (D, anti-codon, and T loops). The record is from RNAcentral. Lineage: Bacteria; Pseudomonadati; Bdellovibrionota; Bdellovibrionia; Bdellovibrionales.